CUUGAAAAUUCAAACCCAUUCAAAACCACCACGCUCCCAGAAGGGACCUGAAGCACAGCUAAAAGUGGGACAGGGGGCCUGGGGCAAACCCCAGCUUCUAACGCAAGAGCAGCUCUGCCAAAGCAUUACAGCAGACAGCACCCCACGGGCUUUGGGUCAGGCCCUAAAAACAGAGAAGGGGUGAAGAUAUGGGCAAAAGAUCACAUGGGACGCUAAGCAGGGAUCCAAGUGGAGACCAAGUAGGGAUCCAAGUAUUUCCAAGCAAAUGCUCUGCACAGAGCCAGCCCUCCAGCUAAAGCCAUGUGCAUAACACAUAGGAGGAGAGAGCAUUGCCAGCUGUCAAGUGGCAGGAAGGCUCCGGUAAGGGGCAACGCUUCUUUGUGCCUUAUGUCAGCGGGGAGCACCACGGCUCAGAAGGAACGCAUGAGGACGGGACAGAAAGAAAAGAGAGCUUCAGGAGCUUAUGAAAACGGACCCAGAAGAUUACAAGGGCUUUGUCACCCUUCCAAUCUCCCCAAACGAUCCACAGUCAGGGGGGUUCUCCCUUCACACGCGUGCUCAGCAGGCAAAGAUACAAUUCUGACUUACGGUUAUAUAUGAAUGAGUUAUUUUGGAGUAUUGAACACAGAGGAACUCAAGCUUUAUAAAGAGUUGUAAAAAGCACACGCAUCUCAAAUGAGUCCACGCGCACCAAGGCAAUUUGGACCAUUUUGUUUUUAUUUUCACCAAGGCUAAGAUCCACCACGGCAUGCACCAAGUGUUGGUUAGAGGAGACACACCGAGAGCCAUACGAACACCUGACAACCCGCUGACCUCGAAGAUGAGUUAUUUACACCGCGCUGGAAAUUAAUGCUGCAGGCGGAGAUGCGCGGGUACCUGAGGUCCGCUUCCUUCCUCUUAACGGAGCAAUACCGGCACAGAGAGGGGAAAAAAAAUAAUAAUAAUAAGGGAAAAAAUAAUACUACUCCUAACAGACAAGAGGGUACGGGACUGAGGCAGGCGGACGCCUCGGGGGCGGCGGGUGGGACCCGGAGCGGCCCCGGGGAUGUCCAGAAGUUGCGCCGCUCCCGCCGCCCCCGCGGCCGCUCCCCGCGGGGCGCUCCCGGCUGCGCGGGCGCUGCCUCCCCGCAACGGAGCGACAGCGGCGCCGGAGCCGCUCUCUCUGCUUCUGGGCGAGAGGAGAAAUAACCUCCAAAUGAAGAACUUAAUGAGGAGUGGGGAGGGGUGGCGGCUCCCGCCGCGCGUUUGCAGCGGGGUGAGCGGGAUCUGCAGGUAAGCGGGAGGGAAGGAGGAAGAGGAGGAAGGCGGAGGGGUCCCGCGGUACUCACGGCGAGGAGCGGGGGGCCGGCGGGCGGCCAAACCCCAUGGCCGGCGAUGGGCGAUCGGCGCUGCUGCUGUUGCGGCAGCCGCCGUCUGCGGGCUGUGCGCGGGGCUCCACUGUCCGGUGGGCGCCCAUAUCACCCCCUUCCGCACCCGACGUUCACUACCUGCUCCCCGGAUCAGCACCCUGAAGUGCCUUCCGUCCACCCCCAUCGCUGGGACACCGAGAUUGCGCUCGUAGGGAUCCCAAAGGUGAUGGCAGCGGGAAGAAUUGGAAGGAAAUUCAGUGCUUCUCAGGGGUGAAAGUGUGUUUUGCGUCGUUAAUAAUAAAAAAGUGCACGUCAUAAAUAAUAUCUUCGUUGCGUCCCGCAUCUGACAUUUUUAAGAUUGCUAUAAAAUGCUGUCGAAUUAAAAAGCGUCAUUAAAGGAACCCCCAGACAGAUACAUUCAGCUGAUGAAGUGUCUGCUCUAACUAUUUAACAACAUAAUGCCGGCUUUUUUAGUGUUGGUGUGCGAGGGUUGGAGCCCAGCCGAGAAGCGCGGAGGUUAUAGCACCUCCAGGAAAGCAAAUGCUGCUCUGCUCCUCUCCCUGGUCCCGGUGGGGGCCAUAGAAGAUACACAUCCACAGCAUGUGUCAGGGGCGAGCUCUGAAGGAUGCUGGGCAGCUGGGGAAUAAGUAGCUCUGUGAAGCAUAUGAGUUUACAGUUAUUAAUCUAUUUACCCAAACUGCCCACGUUGUUGGUUUAUUGCAUCCAGCACAACUGACUUCCACUGGAAGCUGUAAGGCGCUACGUAGGAGCUGUAAGUCAUCAAUCACUGCCGAGCUCAUUUCCAUACUUGCAUUAGUUAAAGGCGUGAAGUGUGAUUGCAGACCGGUGCCACAUUGCAUACCACUCUGCAGAUAUUUGCAUUGGGGUUUAAGCACCUGCAGCAGGCUGAGCAUGGAGCAUGGACCCACAGAUCCAUAAACUGGCUCAUAAACCCAUAGGGGGACUCCCCCAUCCCAACUCUGCCCCUGGAUGCUACAGAGCAACAUCGUGUUGUGUCCUUCCUAAGUGGGGUGUGGAAGAAGUUAAAUCAAAAGUAAAGAGGGUGAAAGAAAAUACUUUGUUUAAAAAAUUAUUUUACACAGAGUAUAUUAAGGCAAAUAAUUGCUGCUGGGGAGAAGCAGAGUAUUAAAUAGCUGUUUUCCCAAGAGCUGCUGGGGGUGGGAUAGCUCCUGAAGGAGCUCUGUGUGAUCAACCAUGACAGCUUCUGUACCCUUCCUUUGCCUUGGAGCAAAGUGGUUGAGUUUUCUGCUUCAUUUGCUUCCUGAUGACUGUGGGUAAGUGGGUCUGUCUGUGAGGAAGUCUCUGGCAAUGGCUUGCCAGCUAUCGGGCUGUACAGCAGCCUUCGGGAUCCCACCUAAAAAAUUGUUGAGGUUAU
This 2745-nucleotide long non-coding RNA is filed under the name Gallus gallus (chicken). The record is from RNAcentral. Lineage: Eukaryota; Metazoa; Chordata; Aves; Galliformes; Phasianidae.